Molecule: ribosomal RNA, 459 nt
Filed under: uncultured bacterium
Lineage: Bacteria
Description: partial 16S ribosomal RNA
Rfam family: Bacterial small subunit ribosomal RNA
Source: RNAcentral
CCUACGGGUGGCAGCAGUGAGGAAUAUUGGUCAAUGGUCGCGAGCCUGAACCAGCCAAGUCGCGUGAGGGAAGACGGUCCUAUGGAUUGUAAACCUCUUUUGUCGGGGAGCAAAAGACGCCACGCGUGGCGUGCCGAGAGUACCCGAAGAAAAAGCAUCGGCUAACUCCGUGCCAGCAGCCGCGGUAAUACGGAGGAUGCGAGCGUUAUCCGGAUUUAUUGGGUUUAAAGGGUGCGCAGGCGGAAGAUUAAGUCAGCGGUAAAAUUGAGAGGCUCAACCUCUUCGAGCCGUUGAAACUGGUAGUCUUGAGUGAGUGAGAAGUAUGCGGAAUGCGUGGUGUAGCGGUGAAAUGCAUAGAUAUCGCGCAGAACUCCGAUUGCGAAGGCAGCAUGCCGGCGCUCAACUGACGCUGAUGCACGAAAGUGUGGGUAUCGAACAGGAUUAGAUACCCCGGUAGUC